This 7032-nucleotide long non-coding RNA is filed under the name Brassica napus (rape). Its description in RNAcentral is "long non-coding RNA (BNAP_LNC012703)". The record is from RNAcentral. Lineage: Eukaryota; Viridiplantae; Streptophyta; Magnoliopsida; Brassicales; Brassicaceae.
GACUGGCUUGAAGAAGCUUUUGAGAAACCCUCCAAUAGUAAAACUUCCAAAGUUAAGCGACCUGAUCUCCUCACAUCCGUUAUCUGGUGCUCUUCCUGCUGCAAUAUGUGAACCUCUAAAACACUCGAAGAAAGAAACAAUGAAGCUGCGUGGUGUGACGCUUUAUAAAGAAGGUUCAAAGCCAACUGGAGUCUGGCUUAUUUGUGACGGUAUUGUUAAGGUAAACCCAAAACUUAGUCAUAAUAUCGAAAGGUUCAUGAUCUCCUUCAUCACUGAAAGUUAUCAUGAUAAAUCAUAUUACAGUGGAAAUGCAAAAGCUUAGGCAACAAUCACUCGCUGCAUCCAACUUUCUCUCAUGGUAGUACAUUGGGACUCUACGAAGUCCUCACUGGGAAGCCAUACAUGUGCGACAUGGUUACAGAUUCUGUGGUUCUUUGCUUCUUUAUCAGUAGUGAUAGAAUACUAGCUUUUGUACAUUCGGAUUCUACCAUUGAAGAUUUCCUUUGGAAGGUACGUCUCUAUAUAAAUCCAUUAAAGAGAAACAUCCUCUCGUGAUUGUCAACUUCUUUCCUGUUUCUUCUUUCUCCAGGAAAGUGCAUUGGUGCUUCUCAAACUCCUGCGUCCUCAGAUAUUUGAAAAAGUGGCAAUGCAUGAACUACGAGCCCUUGUUUCAGCUGAAAGCUCAAAACUGACAACAUAUGUAUCUGGAGAAUCAAUCGACAUCGAUUACAACAGCGUCGGUUUGUUAUUAGAAGGAUUCAUAAAACCUGUUGGUAUCCAAGAAGAGCUUGUACCAUCUCCUGCUGCAUUGCUACCUUAUAACGAGAAUCAAAGCUUCCGUGACGCAUCAGAAGCGUCAGGUAAACAAAAAGUCAACACAGAAUACAAAGAAGAAUCAAACCCUCUUAUCAAAAACUGUGUGUUUGGUGUUUUGAUCACAGGUAUCAUGAGAGUUAGUUUCUCAAGACAAGCAACACAAUACAGUGUGGAGACAAGAGCAAGAGUAAUCAGCUUCAACACUGGAGCAUUUGGAGCUCAUAGGACUCUACAACGAAAACCAUCUUCGUUGUCAUCGCAAAUUGGGACAAGUUCCGAGCACCAGCUCCAGAGAUCAUCUAGUAAAGAACACAGAGGUCUCAUGAGCUGGCCUGAAAGUAUUUACAAAACUGAACAACAAGAAGAGAUCAAUAGAAAGGCGUUAAACUUAUCUGAACAAGCAAGACAACUUAGCAUUUUCGGCAGCAAGGUAAAAAAGAUAACACACUUUGAGAUGAGUUAUGAGAUUGUCAACUUCUCGACUAACAAGAAACGUUCUGAAUCAGGUUAAUCUGUUCACAAGGAGUGCAAGUUUCGGAGGGAUCAUCAACAACAAGCCACAAGAUAACGUAUUGUACAAGAAACAUCCAUUAGACGCAGCGAAAUCAGAAAGCUCCAUGGCCACCAGGGAGCAGGUUGAGACCAGGAAGUUUGUGUCUCAGCUUCCUGCACACGUAGCCUCAGCAGAGAGCAGCACAAGAAGAAAACCAAUGGCGGAGUCGAGCGAUGAUGAAGAGGAAGGAAUCAUUGUGAGGAUCGAUUCUCCGAGCACAAUCGUUUUCAGGAAUGAUAUGUGAGGGCAUUGAGAUGUUUUGUAACAUAAUAAAAAGAAGAAAAAUGUUAGCUUACAGAGUUAUUGUGCAAAAGAAUAAAAGGCAAAACAACAGACGCUGUUUUGAUGAAGGUUUGCUAGAAACAUUGACAAAUCCACAGACACCGAUCUUUUUGUAUGCGCUUAUAUAUUUCCAUGUUAUUUAUUCAACAUAUCAAGGUUUUUUUUUCUGUCAACUAACAAAUGGUGAGUAGAUGGGGUAAGUAAUGAAAGUCUAAAAGUUAUAUGGGUUGAGAACUAUAUUUUUAAAAAAUUAACGUAUUUAUAUACCCAUAAAUUAGGUACUAUAAAAUUGUAUUUAUUUAAAUUUAUUCAAAUUACCAAUCAUCAACAUGAGAUCAUAAUUAAGGAAAAUUUGAAACCAAAAAUAAUCAGAGCAGCAUGAAAGAAAAGGGUUUCAAAGGUAGCUUAAUUAGAGAUAAAAACAACAAAAUAUUAACUCAUUAAACUUUAUGAGCAAAUCUUGUUCUUGUUAGUCUUCUUUGUCUCCACAACCUUCUUCCAAUAUGCCGUAACUUCCCUCGUCGUCUCCUCCUCCGUCUUCUUAACACCUUUAGCUUUUCCAUUAGCCAUCUUGGCGUGAACCUUCGCCGGAAGUGUUUCUAGCUCGCGAAGAACCUUCUCAAAGUCUGCGACCAAUCUCUCAGCUAAGGUUCGAGAGAAAUCUUCUCGAAUCACCACUCGGAGGACGGUGACGUGUUCUGCAUCCGCGGGCAUCGUGUAGGCCGGAACGAUCCACCCGAAGCGGCGGAGAGUUUCGGCCACUUCGAACUCGUCGUGGCGGCUACUGUCUUUUAGAGAAAACGCCACUAAAGGAACACCGUUUUCUUUGGAGACAAUGUUGAAACGUCCCGUUUUCUCUAAUCCUUCUCUUAAGACCAUCAUGUUUUCGCGGCAAUUAUCCAUCACGUUACGAUAUCCCUAAACCCACAAAAAAUUAUCAAUCAAUAAUAUUACUUUACAAAGUUACGCAUGAUAAUAUAUUUUACUCACUUAUAUGUAGUUUUCAACAAGACCAGUUCAACAUUUUGGGGACUUUGAGACUACAAAAAGCUAUAUAUUUUAAAAAAGUUUUACUAAAUUUUCUCUUUUAAAAAUUUAGAAAUAAUAUUUUUGAACAUUUUAUAAUAUAUACACAAAAUAUCUUAAAAUUUCAACCUAAUAGUUAAAAAAAAAUAGUUGAAGAAGUUUUGGAGAUUUUAUCGGAAGAACAUCGGAUUAGACGCAGAAUGGUCGCACCACUUGUUCCCUCCUAAACCAGCACUGUUCAGUCAUUUUGAGUUACUAACCUCGAAUCCAAGACGAAUCAGCUGGUAGUACUGAGCAAUCACUUGACUCGAACCUAGUUUAUACAAGCAUUAACAAAUCAUUAGUUAUGCAUACAAUAUAUAAUAUUUUUAUACAAAUAUAGAAAUGGUAGUGUAAUAUGCUACCUUUGGAGAAGUUGAGAGUGAAGGUGGGUUGAUCAGCGCCGAGAUAAUUGAUGUGGAAGAUAAGUUCUUCCGGCAGAUCAGAUUUGGUUCUCCACACAACCCAACCGAUUCCGGCAUAAACCAAACCGUAUUUGUGACCACUGACAUUUAUGCUCUUAACCAAUGGUAACCGGAAGUCCCACUCCAGCUCCGGAUACAAGAACGGUGCAAUAAACCCACCACUCGCUGCAUCCACGUGAAUCCCCGUAUCCCAUCUGCGAAUUAAAGAAAAAAUUUUAAACCGGAAAUGAACCGGUUAAAAUCGAUUAAUUAAUAGCUACAUGUUAGUUCAAUUACCUGGUUAGCUUGUUUUUCUCGACUAGGAGGUCAUUGAGGAGCUUAACGUCUUCGAACUCUCCGGUUAGCCUCGAACCUAGAAUGGCUGCUACACAAAUGGUGUUCUCGUCUACCAUUUCGACUGCCUUUUCAGGGUCCAUCACGUAGUAUCCUUCUCUUAGCUUCACUUCCUUAAGCUCCACCUCGAAAUACCUUGCGAAUUUCUCCCAGCAAACCUAUAUUAAACCGGAUAUUAGUAAACCAUAGACCUUAACCGGAAAUAUCAUCUUUUGGUUUAAUAUUUCAAUUCUCUGGUUGGUUUAGCUCUGUAAUUUGCGAAAGAAAAAAAAGAGAACUAAGACUCCAUUAGAAUUUUCUGGUUUGGGGUUUCAGCUUGCGGUUUAGAUUUCUGUUUCAAGAUAGAGAAAUAAAGAGCUAAACCGGUUUAAUCUUGUGCUUUGUUACCUGAACAUUAGCUCCGGUUACGAUAUUGGGCUUAUCAUAAGGAAGCCCUUGGGCCUUACGCUUAUUCUGCCACUGUCUCUUAAAAGCCAACCCGGCCAACAUAAUCGCCUCCGACGAUCCCACGGUGCCGACACCAACCGCAGCCUCGCCGUCAUCGAGCGGCGCGUUAAAGAGACGCGCAAUCAUGUUGACGCAUCGGUUCUGAAGCUCGGUGGUGACAGGGUACUCGUCCAUGUCAACGUAGUUCUUGUUGAUGGAUUCCAUCAUGAGCUUGUCACACUCUGGCUCCAUCCACGUGGUUACGAAAGAGGCUAGGUUUAGCCUAGGGUUACCGUCGAGCAUUAGCUCAUCGUUGAUGAUCUGAUACGCUGCUUCCUUAGGGAUAGAGUUCUCAGGCAUCUCGAAUCUGAUGAUGAUGAAAACAUUAGGUUAAAAAUAUAAAAGCAUAUUAACGACGUGACAAGUCAUGCAAUGAAACGUUACUAUUAGUUUCAUGCAAUAUUUCAUAGCUCAUAUUCUCACCGUGGGAGAGAGUUGCGGACGUAACGAGAAGCAAAAGUUGAAUGGAUUGAAACAUCAGUUUCAGAAGCUGUCUUAGACAAAACCAUCUUCUUUCAAUUCACUCGAAUUGUCUAUGCAAACUUUGAAUGAUAUAUGGGUUUGUAAUGUUUAUGUUUGUAGUUGAAGAAUGUGUGGAAUGAGAAGACGAUAAACAAAUGGUUUAUAUAGUGGAAGAGAGUGGUUCAUUUCGUUUCGUUUUGCGACGUGAGAGGAAGCAUCUAUGGUCUUCGUUUAUGGGCUCCUUUGUAACUUUUCUCCUACCGAUGACUUUUCAUUAAUAUAUAAUAUCAAAGACCAACGAAUCAUUGCUUUCAAAAACUGCAUGAGUAUUAUAAUUAAAUAAAAUAAUAACAGUUGACCGUUAAAAGAAACUUUAAUCUAGUGAUUUAGAGAUUUCUACUAUCAUAUUUCAAUUCACUACAAGAAAACAUCAAGGAUUCUGAGGGAAAAAAUCGUCGGAAUUUCGUCGGAAUAUCGUUAUUCCGACGCAAUUCCGACGAAAUACGUCGUCGGAAAUAAUUCCUCGGAAUUUCUUUUUUCCUCUGAAAUCCCUCGGAAUUUUCCGACGGAAUUCCGAGGAAAUAAAUUUCCGAGGAAAUUCCGAGGAUCCCUUGUUUGUCGGAAAAGUCCUCGGAAUAUACCGAGGUAGAACUUCGUCGGGAUAAUUCCUCGGAAGUUCAUCGAUCGAUGCGUGUUUGGACAUAUAUACAUCGAUCGAUAGGAGUAUACCGACGGACUUUUUCCUCGGUUUAUUCCGAGGAACUGUAUGGUCUGGUUUGAGGGGUGCAGUGGCGCUCUCACUUUCUUUAUCUGUGAAGGUUAGUUUUCAAGAACAUUGUCAAUCUUGUUCUUGUGUCUCUUGAAUUUAUUUUGCCACAUUGCUUCAGUCUUGAAUUAACUUAUUCUUAAUCAUUUGAUUCAGCAAUCAAGCGGAAAUUCAUUUCUCAGCAGGGAGACAGGAACAUUGGUAAGUUCAGAAAAUUGUCUGCAAGGUGUUAUGCCUAAAUGAAUUAUAGAAGACUUAUCUUUUCGGUCUCUUGAUAUUCUCAGUUCUUUUGCAGUUUAUUUUCUUCACAGGUGGAAUUGUGUUUCUAACUCUGAUAGUUAAUGGUUCCACUACCCAAUUUGCUCUGCGCCUUCUUCGAAUGGACGGUUUACCAGCCACAAAGGUCAUAAUCUUUUCACAGACUUCAUUUCCAACUUAAGUAUGAAAUGCUUAAACCCUUUUAUUUAUUCGAAAUUCUCCUUUUUUCUUGUUGACAGCUACGAAUCUUGGAUUAUACAAAGUAUGAAAUGCUGAAUAAGGCCUUACAAGCGUUUGAAGAUCUAGGAGACGAUGAAGAGCUAGGACCUGCUGACUGGCCUACAGUUGAAAAAUAUAUUUCAAGCUUAAAAGAUUCAGAAGGGGAACAAGUUCAUCCUCACAGUGGCUCUAAGACUGGAAAUCUUGACAGUACGAGUUUAAAGGACAUACGUAUACGAUUCUUAAAUGGUAACUAUCAUGUCAUUUUCGAACCAAUUACACUAUCCCAUUAGUCAAAUUAUUUACCCUUAGUUCAAUCAUCAGGUGUUCAGGCAGCUUACUGGGAGAUGCUUGAUGAGGGAAGAAUAUCUGAAAGUACAGCUAAUAUAUUGAUGCGGUCAGUGGAUGAGGCCUUGGAUCGGGUUUCUACGGAGUCUUUAUGUGACUGGAGAGGUCUAAAAGAGCAUGUUAAGUUCCCCGGUUACUACAAUUUUCUUCAUUCUAAACUUAUCCCAGGGAAGUUGGUCAUAUACUUUGCUGUUGAAAGACUCGAAUCUGCAUGCUACAUUUCCGCUGCAUUUCUUCGCGCACAUACAAUUGCGAGGCAGCAACUGUAUGAUUUUAUAGGUAUGUAUGACUGGACCAUCUUUGUUGAUCUAUCAGAGAUAUUGUUUGCAAGUACCCUACUUUUGUCUCUUAGUUAUCUUUCUUCUUUAUACAGGGGAGAGUAGUAUCGGCUCUACUGUAAUCAAGGAGAGUGAAACCGAAGGAGCAGAAGCUAAAGAGUUUUUGGAAAAAGUUCGAUCUUCACUUCCUCAGGUUGAUAGUCGUGUCACUUAUUUAUGGUGAUUUAUCUUUCUCGCGAUGAACCACAUAUAAUCUUUGAUCAACUUGGUGUGUAGGUUCUCCGUGUUGUGAAAACGAAACAAGUAACAUAUUCAGUGCUGAAUCAUUUACUCGAAUACAUUCAAAACCUUGAGAAGAUUGGCUUGUUGGAAGAAAAAGAAAUCGCUCAUCUUCAUGAUGCUGUCCAGGUACCAAAUGAAAGAAUCAUAUUCUUUCAACACAUGGUCAUGUCUCUUUUUUCUAAUUUUACCUCUCUCUCUCUCUCUCUCUCUCUCUCUCUUUGCGCAGACUGGCUUGAAGAAGCUUUUGAGAAACCCUCCAAUAGUAAAACUUCCAAAGUUAAGCGACCUGAUCUCCUCACAUCCGUUAUCUGGUGCUCUUCCUGCUGCAAUAUGUGAACCUCUAAAACACUCGAAGAAAGAAACAAUGAAGCUGCGUGGUGUGACGCUUUAUAAAGAAGGUUCAAAGCCAACUGGAGUCUGGCUUAUUUGUGACGGUAUUGUUAAGGUAAACCCAAAACU